GAUGAACGCUGGCGGCGUGCCUAAUACAUGCAAGUCGAGCGAACAGAUAAGGAGCUUGCUCCUUUGACGUUAGCGGCGGACGGGUGAGUAACACGUGGGUAACCUACCUAUAAGACUGGGAUAACUUCGGGAAACCGGAGCUAAUACCGGAUAAUAUUUCGAACCGCAUGGUUCGAUAGUGAAAGAUGGUUUUGCUAUCACUUAUAGAUGGACCCGCGCCGUAUUAGCUAGUUGGUAAGGUAACGGCUUACCAAGGCGACGAUACGUAGCCGACCUGAGAGGGUGAUCGGCCACACUGGAACUGAGACACGGUCCAGACUCCUACGGGAGGCAGCAGUAGGGAAUCUUCCGCAAUGGGCGAAAGCCUGACGGAGCAACGCCGCGUGAGUGAUGAAGGUCUUCGGAUCGUAAAACUCUGUUAUUAGGGAAGAACAUACGCGUAAGUAACUGUGCACGUCUUGACGGUACCUAAUCAGAAAGCCACGGCUAACUACGUG
Molecule: ribosomal RNA, 497 nt
Filed under: uncultured bacterium
Lineage: Bacteria
Description: partial 16S ribosomal RNA
Rfam family: Bacterial small subunit ribosomal RNA
Source: RNAcentral